GACGGACGCUGGCGGCGUGCUUAACACAUGCAAGUCGAACGGAAAGGCCCUGCUUUUGUGGGUUGCUCGAGUGGCGAACGGGUGAGUAACACGUGAGUAACCUGCCCUUGACUUUGGGAUAACUUCAGGAAACUGGGGCUAAUACCGGAUAGGAGCUCCUGCUGCAUGGUGGGGGUUGGAAAGUUUCGGCGGUUGGGGAUGGACUCGCGGCUUAUCAGCUUGUUGGUGGGGUAGUGGCUUACCAAGGCUUUGACGGGUAGCCGGCCUGAGAGGGUGACCGGCCACAUUGGGACUGAGAUACGGCCCAGACUCCUACGGGAGGCAGCAGUGGGGAAUAUUGCGCAAUGGGCGGAAGCCUGAUGCAGCAACGCCGCGUGCGGGAUGACGGCCUUCGGGUUGUAAACCGCUUUCGCCUGUGACGAAGCGUGAGUGACGGUAAUGGGUAAAGAAGCACCGGCUAACUACGUG
RNAcentral lists this ribosomal RNA (468 nucleotides) under uncultured bacterium. RNAcentral describes it as "partial 16S ribosomal RNA". It matches the Rfam family "Bacterial small subunit ribosomal RNA", at positions 28 to 507 of the family's 1533-position model. The record is from RNAcentral.